RNAcentral lists this long non-coding RNA (10216 nucleotides) under Capsicum annuum. RNAcentral's name for it is "long non-coding RNA (CANN_LNC015848)". Lineage: Eukaryota; Viridiplantae; Streptophyta; Magnoliopsida; Solanales; Solanaceae. The record is from RNAcentral.
AGUAGUAAUGUUCUUGGCUUUAACCCCGGAAAAAGAGCUUUUAGCCACCCAUAACCAUAAUCAACAUUCAAAUAAUUGUAUGAAUGAUUAAAACCAUAAAGAAACUAAAUUAAAGAAUAAAAAAAACCUAAAAAUAAAGUUACGGUAGCCUCCAAUGUUGUCCAAGCCGAUUUAGAUGUUCCAAGAUGUACAAAAUGGGUUUUAACACAUUAUAUUUAUAGGAGACCAAUCAUAAACCACGUAGGAUUAGGUUUCCAUACUGUCCUUUUACAGUUGGGCACAAUUUUCCCGCUUUUGAUCAUCAUCGAAUCACGUUAGGAUAUUCAUCGCUAUAAGCCUGCGACUCAGUGUAAUCGUGUUUGAGUUUUUGGAAGUGACAAUUGCAUAUUGUACCAUUAUCACGACACGCCAUUCCCUCCAUUGCUAUUAGCACCCUAUCGCAGUGACAUACUCCCAGGCAUCAUAUUCUCCUCAUGUGGUCUUAUGCUUUCGUCGGUCUACUCCAAGCUUUUGUAUAAUGUUUCCACUUGAUUUGAGGUUUGUAAAUCCUUCAUAUAUCAUCAUAAUCAUCUCACCAAUCCACCUAUAACAUUACACACCCAAAUUAAAUCUCAAAAUAACACAAUGAACUAGUAACUCAAGCUAGAACACUAGUUUUCUCGUCUAGACUUUAAAUGCUCAAAUUGAACCUAAACUCGUGUGAAAAUAAAAUCUAACAUUGUAAGAACAUACUUGGAUACUAAGAUACAUAUUUAUAUCACUAUUAACACGUAACGCACAUGAAUCAUCCUCAAACAAGGCUAAAUGGGCUAGAAUAACAACAUUAGCAUGCAUAAAUACACCCAACAUCAAUACUUACAACAACUUUCUAUUUUGUAGGAUUGUAGAACAGACCACCUUUUGUUCCUUUAGGGUAACAAAUAAAAACACAUACUUCUGGUAUACGUUCCAACUUUUUGGCCUUUCUUUUUAGCACGUGUGCUGGAAAUCCUCAAAUCUGAAUCUGUUUCAGACUAGGUUUAUGCCUAGUCCACUGUUUCAUAGGUGUCACAUGUAUAUACUUGGAAGGAACUAAGUUUAGAAUAUUGUUUGUAGUUUCUAGUGCAUAACCCUAAAAUGAAAAAGGCAAAUUGAAGUAUCUCAUCAUAGAUCUAACCAUUUCUAAAAGAUUCUUGUUUCUUCUUUCUGCUACACUAUUUUGUUGUGAAGUUCUAGGUGUAUAAUUUGAGACGUAAUUCCUUAUUCUGAUAAGUAACUAAUGAACUCGUUGGAGAUAUAUUCACCACCAUGAUCAGAUCGUAAGGACUUGAUACAUUUCUUAUGUUAUUUCUCUAUUUCUGUGUUAAACUCUUUGAAUUUAUCAAAGCAUUCAGAAUAACGACGCAACAAAUAAAUGUAUCUAUAUUUUGAGUAAUCAUCAACAAAAGUCAUAAAAUACUCAUAACCACCUCCCACUUAAACAUUCAUUGGGCCACACAAGUCAGAAUGAAUUAACUCUAAUUUAUCAUUUUCUCUGUUUUCUUUUGAGGGUAAAGGUCUCUUAGUUAUUUUUCCUUUUAAAUAGGAUUCACAUGUUGGUAGAGCAUCCAUUUUUAAUGAACCUAAAGGUCCAUCCAGAACCAACCUCAAAAUCCUGUCUAAAUUUAUGCGACAUAGAUGCAAAUGCCAUAAAUAAGUCUUAUUAAAUUCAGAAAAACACUUUUUUUUACUUGAAAGAUUAAUAAUAUUCAACUCAAUGGUUUGUUGUUGUUCAGGUGAGACAAUAAUUAUAAAAAUACCACCAAUAAAUGUACCCGCAAAGAUAAAAUGUUUAUUCUAAUAACACAAUCAUUAUCAGAAAAAUUAACACCAUAACCAUAUCUUAAAGCUUUAGAAACUGAAAUCAAAUCUCUUUUAAUAGCAGGUGCAUAUAAUGCAUAUUUUAAAAUUAAAAAUAUAGCAUUACUGAAUGAAAUACUAAUAUUUCCUAAUGAUUAGUUGGAUCUGUUGAACCGUUAGCUUGAAGAACAUUAACUUCACCUUUAUUCAACUUGCACAUUUCUUGAAACCACUGUAAAGUAGUGCAAAUGUGACCAUUGUCCCAAAACUACAUACCAUGAUGUGGUAGAACAAUCGCUAAACAUGUUUCAAUGACAAGUGUAAGUCAAUCUAGCUUGUUUUUCUGCUUGGCUAGGAAAACUCGAUAAUGUGUCUUCCAAUGGACUAACAUCUUGCAAUGAAAACACUUGCCGUUAAGCUUUUUCACAUCGCUAGUUAAAGCUACAACGUUCUUAGCAUUGUGAGUCUUUAUCUUCUUCAUUCCACCUUUCGACUUAGAAGUAGAUUUUUUUCUCAACAAAAUUAUGAACUCUCAAAUUUCUUUUGACUCAAAAUAGUGCUAAAGGAGGUAAAAGGAGGCAUAUUGAAUUUGAGAUUGAAAUAUGUUACAAUAGAUCAAUAACAGUCAUAUAAACAUAGAACGAUUAAAUUCGAACUCAUCAUAUACAUAUAUAUUCAUGCAUCUCAAAUAUUCAAUCGAUGGGAUUGGAGAACAACUCAUGCAAUAUACAUAUAUAAUAAUCGAUUAUUCCCUUCAUAAACUUUUAUAGACCUAACUCAGAUGAAGAGUAUACUAUUAGUUUAAGUAAAACCCUACUCUAGCUACAUUGAUCCAAUCAUAUAUUACUCGGUUUAGAAGAGUUAAUACAAAUUAUCAAACUAGCGAUUAAAUACAUAAUAACUUGUGCGAAAUUCAUUCAAUAGGGAGGAAGGUCUAAACCAGCACAUAAACUUAAUACUUAAUUAAUAUUUAAUCUUGAUAAUUAUGGGGAUGAACCCUCUUUACCAAAUAAGUUUUCCUUUCAAAAAAUACCCGAGAGUUUAAGAUAUCACAUUUUCUCCUUUUGGGUGAAAAUAUUUAAUAUCUCUUCUCAUGUACCCUUAUUCAGAAAAAUUUAUACAUAGUACAUUGAUCUAAUUUCAAUGACUCAAAUAAAUAGACUACUUUCGUAGAUUCUAUUUAUUAAUCAUAACUCUCAAUUCAGGUAUUAUAAUCUUACAUAUAUAAAAUUUUAAGAAUUUCAAAUAAUUUUAAAUAAACAAACAAUCUUAAUGAUAAUCAUUUAUCAAUUAUUGAAUUCUUAAUUUAUAAAGCUUCAUAUAUAUUCUACUAUAUGAUAAAGGACAAUAACCACACACCUCUUCAACAUGACUGCUAGGCAUUGAAGGAUAUUCUGUCUUUUAAGCUUUUAAGUCUACAACUAAUACCCCACUGCCUCAUCAAUUCUCUCAGUAUAUUCUUAUCCCUUUCAUCGUUUUUACUCUUCUAGCUACUACUCCACCGCUUCAUCCAUUCACUGUCUAUUCUCAUUCCUUACAUCCAAGAACAAGUUGUGUUUGCCGGUGCUUCAACAACUACUGAGCCAAUCUUGAAUAAUCUUGUAAACCCCAUUAAGAUUUUAGAUAAAGAAGCAAAAGAUAGUCAAAAACUUAUCAUUAUUGAAGACUUUGAUAUAUUUGGUCUUAAUCUUAUUAAAGUUCCUAAAAAGGUUGAUUUUCCUUUUUCAUUUGCUUCUAAUUAUCACAUGGAUCCUUAUAAAAAGGUUUGCAUUUUAUUUCUUUUUUGGCUAUUUAUUGACUUUUCAUCUUCUCUUUUUUUCUUUUUGGAUGUUGCAUGAAGUUUAUUAAGUUUGACUAAUCUUGUUGAUGUUUGUUUGUUGUGUAUGUAUAAAUAAAAUUUGUUUCCAACUUCAGAAUUUGGUUGAUAUUUGUAGAAAAUAUUGCUAAACAAGGAUGAGGAAAAGUAAAGUUUGAAGUUGCAAACUUUACUAAUUUGGAUCUAAUGAAAUAGAUAUUGUAGGCUAGGGUAAUUUCCAGUUUAUUAAGAAAACAAAAAUCUGAAAUUUCUUUCUUUCCUAUACCUAUCUUGUAUUUUGGUUGCUCUAAAAGCCCUGCUUAUUAUUGCUAUAAGCUUUGUUUUGGAGGCAAACAAAAGAUAUGUGUGUUAGAUUGUAGUUUUUGCUAUCUCCCUAAUUGAUUAAUCUGAGGAAUAAUGAAGUUUUUGCUAUAAAUUACCAGUGUUUUAUAUAACCUUAUAUCUGCUAGAUUUUAUUGACGCCUACCGUAUUUGUUUUGUCAAAUGAGGAUCAUGUUUUGAGCAUCAGUUUCAUGAUAUUUAUAUUUUUGCUAUAUUAUUGUAUGUUCAUUUCCUAGAACAAAAAGUAGUGUUAGACAAUUAUGCAGAUUGUUGCUCUAUGGCAUAAGGGGAUUUCUUUUUUCAUUCUUAAUAAAAGAUAUCUAGUCACAUUUGUUUUGACUUGAAUAUUGUCGUCCAGAACUCACAAGAGGCAGAGUUCUUCACAGAAUAUGGAGAGGCAAAUAAAUACCAAAUUCAGGAAGUUAUCGGCAAGGGUAGUGAUAACUAGGCUCUAAAAUCAGUCCAUACAAUGCACUCCAAGGGAGCCCACUUGAAGACUUUGACUAAGGGGUCAUUUUGGACAUUUCACACUAUUCUUGUAAUAUACUAUAAAUACAACCUUCUAGGGAUUCAUUCAUUAGAUUUUGAUGAUGAUGAAUGUUGUAUAACAUUGAAAGACAAGCCCUCUCUCCUUGAGGCACAAAUAUGAAAUUGUAACUAGGAAAAUCAACUUGGUGUGGAAUCACUUGUGUUGGAUUCAAAUUUGGUAACGUUGGUCCUUGGGAGAUUGAGAUCCCUCUUAUGCCUACGUAGGAGAUAGGUUAGUGUUGUGUGUAGUAUUAAAGGUCCAGGGCUGUAACAAUUCUUGGGUUGUUAAUAUUAUUCCCUCAUUUGGUCUAUCUAUCUAUCUUUAUCUUAUUGCACUUUGUAGAUUUAUAGUGGACUGUUUUGUGUCCUUCUUGAAUCCAAAAUUUGUUCUCAUUGUGUUCAUCUUGUUAUCAUUGUGUUGCUGUUGUUUUUGGUGUCAAAUGCACCGUUAUCUCGUAUUGUUGUUGUUGUAAUGAAUCCGAGAGUGGUCUCCAUCUUAGUCCUUAAAUCCUUAAGAUUAGUGGACUAUUUUGGAGAUUAGUGGACUAUUUUGGAGUUGUUUCGUGUUUCCAUUAUUUUUCCCGUAUCAUUAGGUAUCAAAGCCAUCGUUGAUUUUGUUCUAACAAGAUCAAUCUUGGUCUUGAGACUUGAAAACUACAAAAAAAAAAGUUGAAAACUAAAAAUUCCAGAAAAGAAAGCAAUCUGUCCAUUUUGUGUUCUUGCCCGAAAAUUGUGUUUUUGUUGUGUCUUGGCCGAGAUUGUUACUUGUCUUUGUUGUCUCUAAGUGUUUUUUUUUUCAUCACUCACACAUUGAUCCUAAAUCUUGAGUUGAGCUUGAAUUGUUGAGAUUGUUGUUGUGACAAGUUAAUGGUCGUGUAUUGAUGUUGUUGUUCUUGGCCGUGUGGUGACCUUUCUUGUGGACUUGGGCUGGACGUUGUUGGUGUUGUUAUUAUUCUUGAAAAUUUGUUGUAUUCUUACUGUUCAUCAUAAUUUUCACCCCUUGUUAAGACCAAAACACCACACUAAAGGACUUGACCGUUUGUUGGAAGUUUGUAGUUGACCUUGUUGUUGUUCUGGGGAGAUUGUUGUUGAUUUUCUUGGUGAUUGUUGAAGUGUUCUUGAUGUUCUUCCAAACCUUCAUACCUUCUUAAAAUAAAGUGAAAGUUAGAUCCAAAAAGGUGAAUAAAAAAGUGUGAGAACUUUGUUAGUCUUGAAAGACUUACCAUCACUCACCAACAAGUCAAUCACAUCUCAACCACUUUCCCAUAAAACAAGGAUCCAUGUUUUAAAGAGGAGUACAAGUCUAGUGCAAAACUUUGAGUCUUGAAAUUUUAAUUGAAAAAGAAGCUCUAAAGACUACUUUGUGUUUCCCUCUAUUGAACAAGUUCCACCAAAGUUCAAAUUGAAAAAUUGACCAAGACUUGAAAUUGGACAACAAAAGUUAUGUACAACCGAGAACAAUACGUGGCUGCCACAUCAUCAUGUUUUACUGUUCCUGCAACAUAUUUAAGAUCAAAUUUUAGAUUUCUUAGUUUCUAUUUGUUGUUUCUUAGUUUCAAUUUCAUUGGUUCCAAUACUAAUUGACAAACUAGUACUUAUCUACUAAUUGAUUGUUAGUUUUUGUGUUCGUUCAUUCGUGUUACGCAUUUGUUGUGUACUUUUCUCUUUUGUGAAAUCGUUGUAUCUUGUUGGUUCAAGUCCGUAACAAAUUUUGCUUGAGUCAACUCAAACGAAAAUCUAUUCUGGGCAAGAGUAGACUCGACCCUCAAUCACUCGCGAAGUACAAGCCGCCUUUCAACACUUGUGAAACCAAGUGUGAGACGAUCAAGUGUGUGAGAGUGUGAUGAGGUUGUUUCAAACUAACUUGAUGAGGUUGUUUCAAACUAACUUGUGUUUUGUUUUGUAAGUGUUCUUUUCUUUCUUUUUUUUUAGGUACAAUUACAAGAAAAUCCGCGGCUUCCACCUCUCAACCCAUUGACAACAAUGCCACCAAUGUCAUUUUAGCCUACCUUGACACUAUGUCCCGAUACCUAGUUAUGAAAAAUGAAAGGUUGGAUCGUAUGAUAGGUCAAAGGGAGCAAGUGGGCUACCCGAACACACAUCAAGAGGAAGGCCAUAGCUCAUGUGAGCUACGAGGUAAAAACACUAUCACUCCUAUGAACUUAGAAUGUUGUGUUGUGGCUAGUAGGGGCCAAUUGGAUGUAGUUGUUGAUUUACCUAGAGUAGAGGUAUUUGAGUCUCCCUAUGGUGAUACUCUUGGUGAUGUUAGGUUACGUGAGGACCAAACUCUUGUUGUAAGUACGCAAGCACUAAUUAAUCCUUUAGAUGACGAAAUUGAUUCUUCUUGUAAGAAUUAUUUAUGUCCAUCUAGUGCUAGCCAUUAUAACUUGAACAAGAUUCUAUUACCAAUUGACAAGAGUACUCACACACUAGUUGACCCUUGUGUGAACCAAGGUGAGUCUAUGUUGGUAUGUGAGUUACCAACAACUAGUGAGGAUGUGAAUGGAGAUCAACUUACUCAUGAAUGUAUUCCACUACUUGAGCAUAUGUGUGGCGUGCUUAAAAAAUCUCAAGUUAGUGAUGGUGUUUAUAGAGUUGAUCUUGAUGGCGCACGUGACUCUUUGAACAUAUUGUGUGGUAAAAACCUUGCUAGUAGUUUUGUUCAUAGAGAUCAUGUGUAUGGAAAUGUUGUAAAUGAUGGCAUAUGUCUUUCUAAGGUAGGAUUUCUAGGUCGUGUCUCUCUAUUCUUGAAUGUUAGUCUUCUCUUAAAGGCAAAUGUCAUACAUGGUUGUGGGAGUGACAUUCUAGGAGAAGGAAGGGCUAACCUCGGCUUAGACCCUUGGCUACUUCUCCCAUUUGACCCCAACACCCUCCAGGAAUGUGGGAAUUUCUACACUUCCUACUUAAUGCUUGGUCAAGACGAUAAGCAAUGUUUGCUUGUGGGUGCUAAUAAAAGAAGGCAAGGUUCUUCCUUGUCUCUUUUUGUUGAUGAUGACCUAUUCCUUUGUGCCAUUUAUACUAAGAUUUUCAUGUUCAACACAAAGGACCCGUGGGUAUACUUCAAGUUUGUCCUACCUUGGCAUGGCAUGUGAUGUGUUACUUUUGCUAACCCUAACUGCUCAUGUCAUGAGAAUGUGUGCUUGUUUGUUUUAUCUUAAUUUUACAAGCUAAGGAUUCGAGGUCAAAUCCUUUUCAAGAAGGGAAGGAUGAUACGGGUACGACUACGGAGGUGGGUGAGUGCAGGAGUAAAUGAACCCAAGACUUGAAGUGUACACGUGAAGUGCAAAGAAAGGCCUAACUAGGCUCUAAAAUCAGUCCAUACAAUGCACUCCAAGGGAGCCCACUUGAAGACUUUGACUAAGGGGUCAUUUUGGACAUUUCACACUAUUCUUGUAAUACACUAUAAAUACAACCUUCUAGGGAUUCAUUCAUUAGAUUUUGAUAAUGAUGAAUGUUGUAUAACAUUGAAAGAUAAGUCCUCUCUCCUUGAGGCACAAAUCUGAAAUUAUAACUAGGGAAAUCAACUUGAGUGUGGAAUCACUCGUGCUGGAUUCAAGCUUGGAAACGUUGGUCCCUGGGAGAUCGAGAUCCCUCUUGUGCCUACGUAGGAGAUAGGUUAGUGUUGUGUGUAGUAUUAAAGGUCAAAGGGUGUAACAAUUCUUGAGUUGUUAAUAUUAUUCCCUCAUUUGGUCUAUCUAUCUAUCUUUAUCUUAUUGCACUUUGUAGAUUCAUAGUGGACUGUUUUGUGUCCUUCUUGAAUCUGAAAUUUGUUCUCAUUGUGUUCAUCUUGUUAUCAUUGUGUUGCUGCUGUUUUUGGUGUCAAAUGCACCGUUGUUAUCUCGUAUUGUUGUUGUAGUGAAUCCGAGAGUGGUCUCCAUCUUAGUCCUCAAAUCCUUAAGAUUAGUGGACUGUUUUUGAGUUGUUUCGUGUUUUCAUUGUUUUUCCCGUAUCAGGUAGCUAUGGAGUUGUGGCUUCUGCUAUUGAUACCAAAAUUGGAGAAAGAGUUGUUAUCAAGAAGAUUAAUAACGUGAUUGAGUAUGUCUGUGAUGCCAUUAGGAUUUUAAGAGAAAUCAAGCUUCUUUGGCUACUAAGGCAUCCUGAUAUCAUAGAAAUAAAUAUCAUGUUACCACCUUCUUGGCGAGAGUAUCACUGAGGUAUGUUGAUUGUUUCACACUAACACUAUGUCGGUAUUUGUAACUAAAUUUAUAUGUACUCAUUAAGCUAUUUGAAGAAGAAAGCUAUUUAAGAGAUGACUUUGAUUGACUCUCAAAGAAAAAAAACUUCAGUCAAUAUGUCUUGGGGCAUGAAACUGACUAUUUUGUAGCAACUUCUCAAUUGUGUGCAUUUAUGUGAAAAUUUUAGGACUUGCAGAAGAUAAACUUGGUAUGAAAAAAUAGAGUAAUGGGUUGUGUCCUAUAGAGCACAAUUUAUGUCCAGUGCUAACACGGAUAUACAAUCAUUGUAGAGAUAUCAAGAAAGGUUGCAGCAGCACAUGAAACAGUGAUCACCAACAACUAUAUGGCAACAGAACCUGCCAGGGUGAUACAUCUGACAGGCAAACAUCAAAGAUGGAACCAAGACCAAUCCCUCCAAUUAAACUAAUAAAUGUUGAUAAGGGCUUUCAAAGAUCAGAUCACAUAGAAAUUCCAGGGAAAAAAGGACGAUUCUCCCUUGCACAUUAUAUUGAGCCCGUGCUGAGCGCGGACGCCCUCCAUCUAAUAUAUAUGUGUGUGUGGAGAUAAUAAAGGGUAUAAAGAAAAUUCAAUCAUAAUUAGGCAGAAGAGGUAGCUUCCUUCACCAUUCUCACGUGAAAAGAGAAAACUAUACCCUAUAGAUUAUUUUUCUUUCUAUUGAAAAUUUUUCAAUUCAUGGUUGUUGGCAACUCACGUGAUGAAAAACUAAGCCCAACGGUAAAUUUUCCUUUUUAUUGAAAAGUUUUUAAUAUUGGUCUGCUAAUUAAAAAUCAAGUAUUCCUUUUUAGAGAAAUAACAUUAUGAAAAAAUAAUCACUGUUGUUGUCCAUCCUCACGUGAAACCACCAUACAGUACGAACCAUUGGCAAGAAAAUCCUUUCUUAACAUGAUCAAGAAAAUCAAUUGAAAAACUUUUUCACCUUUUUAUUUUAUUAACAUUAUGUUGCCACUCAAAAAAAAAUUUAGGCCACGAAUAAAAAUUGAUUUCAUGAUUUAGGUUUCAAAAUAUUCCUCUAGACAAUUCUUAUCACAUAUCAAUAUCUUAAAAAUUGAUAUCCAUGAGUCAAUAAGAGAAAUUUCAAUGAAAAGAGUCAUUCCACACAAAAACAAUGUAGUUUUCAGUUUUGAGAAGAACUCAUGAUGUCAAUUGUUGGAAAAUCAGGCACAGCGAAAGCAAAUAGACAUGAUCACUUGCAUGUAAUAUAGAUAACCAGUAAAAACAUAUCGUUCACGCAAAGAAUGCUUAAAAAUAUUCAGAAAUACCUUUUGAAGAGUGAGCAAAUAGUUUGAAGCAAAUAGCUUGAAGCAAAUCUGUUUUUGAAUCUCUUGAAGCAAAUCUGUUUUUAAAUUUGUGCCGAACUCUCUCAAUACUCGGAUAGGCAAGUAUUGAAUAGAAUACUUUAUUCUUUCUAUUGUCUUUGUUGUUUUUUCUAGGCUAGGUAAAUCCCGAUUCAUAGAAAUACUCUCCCGGUGUAAGGAGGACAUGAAAACACACGCCUGUUUCUAUUUGAUCAAGGAUAAGCGAUGACUUUUUCUUUUUC